UGAGCAAUCUGCCCUUCUCUUCGGAAUAAGCGUUGGAAACGACGUCUAAUGCCGAAUACGACUCUUCCUC
This 70-nucleotide ribosomal RNA is filed under the name uncultured bacterium. Its description in RNAcentral is "partial 16S ribosomal RNA". The record is from RNAcentral.